RNAcentral lists this transfer RNA (76 nucleotides) under Candidatus Hydrogenedentota bacterium. RNAcentral's name for it is "tRNA-Ala". It matches the Rfam family "tRNA". Rfam says of the family: Transfer RNA (tRNA) molecules are approximately 80 nucleotides in length. RNAcentral also lists the same sequence under 1 other name. Lineage: Bacteria; Pseudomonadati; Candidatus Hydrogenedentota. The record is from RNAcentral.
GGGGUCGUAGCUCAGUUGGGAGAGCGCUUGAAUGGCAUUCAAGAGGUCCGGGGUUCGAUUCCCCGCGGCUCCACCA